UGUGUCAUAGUAUAGGUGUGAUGCUCAUGACAAUUUAUGCACUUAUGAAAGCAUGUUGUAAACACCUCAAGCAUUCACCCUUAAGGAUUUCAAAGAGGCUUAAGGACCAUCCACCUUUUGAACAAAGGCAGCUUAUCCUCGUUACAAGGUUAAGCUUUAAGCUCCUUGACAAUAAAAUUACUUCACCCAGUUUAAACAAAGAAGUAAGAAUGAAUAUUUGAGAAGUUAACCUAGGUAUGAAGCAGGGUUAAUGCAUGAACAUGCUUUCUCUUCCUUUUAUACAAGAUAUGCAAGGAAUGAAGGAAGAUUUAGGUACAUGUAUGAAUAAGAUUGAAUAGUUUUACCCUUUUGUACCUUUACAUAGUGAUGUUCACUUCAUUGUGCUUUGUCCUUAGUCUUAUUGAAUUCGCCGAAGACCUAUACUCAAGACAAUAUAUGAAAAUAU
Molecule: long non-coding RNA, 445 nt
Filed under: Zea mays
Lineage: Eukaryota; Viridiplantae; Streptophyta; Magnoliopsida; Poales; Poaceae
Description: drought responsive lncRNA
Source: RNAcentral